Molecule: long non-coding RNA, 459 nt
Filed under: Equus caballus (horse)
Lineage: Eukaryota; Metazoa; Chordata; Mammalia; Perissodactyla; Equidae
Description: lncRNA (ENSECAG00000044511.1)
Source: RNAcentral
GGCAGCCUCAAGCCUUCCCAGAUUCAAGUGAGCUUCGUGGGAGAUGUAGUGUAGAAUUCGUGGCCAUAUUUUCCUAUUGCCUCUUUACCCCACGGGCUGUCUGCGAUGGCGGAUGAGGGAAGAUGGCCUUGCGACUUACUCACUCUGUUGGUUGCCUUUGCUGCUGACACCCAUCAGCUGCACUCUGCUUGCUCAUAGAACCCUGGUUUGGUUCAGGUAUUGGUGACUACUCUUUGGAGGAUGGCAGGUCCCUGCGUAGGCCCAGGAGGUGGGAGAAAGUGGAUUAGAGCCUCAUACUAAUCCACAGCUAUUUGUCUACAUGUUUAUUGUCUGCCCCUCCAUUAGGAUGAGGACUCCUGGAGGAUGUAGAUCUUGUCCGCCAUCUUGGCUCUAGUGUCUUCAGCACCAAGUACAAUGCCUGCUCCAAUAUCUGUGGAAUAAAUAAAUGAGUGAGCAAAC